Long non-coding RNA from Gasterosteus aculeatus aculeatus (three-spined stickleback), 1443 nucleotides. Lineage: Eukaryota; Metazoa; Chordata; Actinopteri; Perciformes; Gasterosteidae. The record is from Ensembl.
ACAAACUUUUAAUCGCAAUUCAUUAAUUUCAAAAUGUGCAAUUAAUUAGUUAAUUUUCUUUAACCUAUUGACAACACUAAUAUUCAACACUUGUGUAACUAGAAAAUAUGUAAAAAUUGUUUUAUUUUUAUUAAUCAAACGUGGUAUAUAGGACAAAUGUAUCACUAUUAAGUAAUUUGUCUGUAUAGACAUUAAUAAGGGCCAUGUCCUUGCUCAAUGUGAUACUAAUAUAACUGCAGCCCGAUGACUUAAUAUCGCAAACAUUUUAAUAAUUUACCAAGUCUGCAUUUAUAAAUUUAAUUGUGCUGUUGAUAGAUUUAUGCCUUCAAAACUGAGAUUUAUGAUAUUACAUCCGCCUGUUAGAUGUACUCAUGGUCUCACCACUUAUGACCGACAGGCCAUGGAACGACACCCACAGAGGGGAACCUGCAUGGAAGAGUGCACUCGUUCAGAACGAGGCUCUUCGUCUUCAGCGGCUUGUGCUGCUCUGCUGUUUUCAUGGGAAUCCGUCACCGUGGAGAUGUGGAGGUAAUCGCUCUCUACCGGAGCCGGGGGAGACAGCAGCACAUCCCACAGGACUAAAUCCAUCGUCAGAUUCACACCGGUUCACUCUUCGUGAUGAGCUAAUCAGAGACACUGUCACACUACCUAGUUUUAAUUUAAAAGGAAAUAACAAAAAUACUGAAAUAAAAAAAAAUAGACUUCAUAUUGAUAUUGGAGAAGACUGGGACGCAGUGCUUCGACGUGUUGGGGGGGCAAAGCUGUGAUAGGGACUCUCGCUUGGCCCGAUGACGUCGGCAAUCCCCGGAACAUCAAAACAAGUUGUAUUAAUUAUUAUUAGUUCAUUAAGGGGAUUAAUUAAAAAAAAGUUGUUUUUCUCUAGCGUUUAGGGGUUGGUAGAGAUGCCAGACAGGCACGCUAACGUGUAGAAGACAAAAGUUAAAUAUAUUAAGUCCUUGAGGUUGUCUGCCAAGCACUUUAGAGAAAUGGCCAUUAUUUGUUGUCCUUUGAUAAUUUCACGCCUAAAACUCAUCAUUGGCGGCCCCAUUAGUACCUUUGAUAAAUAUUUCCCUGCACGAGGCAAAUUGGAUUUAGAAGCAUCAGUAAGUGGCAGAUUAAAUAUUGUUGCAUCGAGUACAUCCUUUUUUCUCUACAAAUCGGACGUGGGCCGAUGCAAUAUGGUGCAAAAUGUGCAAAAUGUUAGAGCAAUAACCACAUGUUAACAACCUGUUUACACCAAAUACGGAAUAAGACCAAUCUAAGUCUAAUAUUCACUCAGUAUUUAGCUCCAUUUUGGUCUCCACUUACCUCUGGAGUAAAUGAUUGACUGUUUCUACUUUCAUUGUUAGCAUUUGCUUACUGUAUUACAAUUAUAAGUAUUUUGAGCCAAACCAUGAUCUCUUACUCAAACUAGGUUGAUUUGUUGCACACGUUCUUCACAAC